Molecule: ribosomal RNA, 529 nt
Filed under: uncultured bacterium
Lineage: Bacteria
Description: bacterial SSU rRNA
Rfam family: Bacterial small subunit ribosomal RNA
Source: RNAcentral
AAUAGAUACCCCGGUAGUCCACGCCGUAAACGAUGAGUGCUAGGUGUUAGGGGGUCCAACCCUUAGUGCCGAAGUUAACACAUUAAGCACUCCGCCUGGGGAGUACGGUCGCAAGACUGAAACUCAAAGGAAUUGACGGGGGCCCGCACAAGCGGUGGAGCAUGUGGUUUAAUUCGAAGCAACGCGAAGAACCUUACCAGGGCUUGACAUCCCUCUGACCGUUCUAGAGAUAGAGCUUCCCUUCGGGGCAGAGGUGACAGGUGGUGCAUGGUUGUCGUCAGCUCGUGUCGUGAGAUGUUGGGUUAAGUCCCGCAACGAGCGCAAUCCUUGUCCUUAGUUGCCAGCAUUCAGUUGGGCACUCUAGGGAGACUGCCGGUGACAAACCGGAGGAAGGUGGGGAUGACGUCAAAUCAUCAUGCCCCUUAUGUCCUGGGCUACACACGUGCUACAAUGGCUGGUACAAAGGGUAGCGAAGCAGUGAUGUGGAGCCAAUCCCAAAAAGCCAGUCACAGUUCGGAUUGUAGGCUGC